This is a long non-coding RNA of Rhincodon typus (whale shark), 727 nucleotides long. RefSeq lists it as uncharacterized. The transcript is spliced from 3 exons. Lineage: Eukaryota; Metazoa; Chordata; Chondrichthyes; Orectolobiformes; Rhincodontidae. The record is from RefSeq and is a predicted model, not a curated record.
AUUCAUAAAACCUGGUGGGUUUGUUUUUGCUUAUUUGAAGGCUUCUUCUUGACAUUCCUUUUAUUGAAUGUUUCCACUAAUUUGCAAGAGAUGCAGGGUGGCUAAGUCACUUGUAAAAGGCUCUACUCAUCCAGUUCAAAGUCACAACUUGCAGCAUCUGCUAAAGGAAAGUCUGACCUGUUCAGCUCCCUGACAACCAAUCGCAUAGUUGUUGAAAUCUUACUCAAAAUUGAAGAACCAAAGAAAAACAUUAAAGUUAUACAACACUGAAGCACAACUACAAGGUGGCAAAGAUGUAGUCAUUCAGAAGCAGUGGUUUGCAUUACUCAACUACGUGGAAUCCUUAUGACAGGAUAUCAAACUUUGUGCCUACUUUGUAGUGAAGUAGCUGCAUUUAAGAACAUUACAGACAAUUGAAACAAUGCUCACACAUUCACCUGCAAAAAUAAACAUGUCAGACAAAAAUAAAAUUAACUUAGAGUUCAGAGCAUGAAAAGUGUAAAAAUACGUUAUAUAAUCUCUUGUGCUCUGUGCUGCUUGUCUACUAGUUGACAGCAUGUCAGAUUGUUUGUAAAUAUUUUCUGGAAAAAUGCCACUAUUAUAUGUAACUGCAUCACAUGGCGGGAAUGAAAAGACAAAACGUUAGAUUUGAGGAUAGAGAGUACUCACUAGCACAUAACUUCUGACCUUAAAACAGAACAUGGUGCACUGCCAAAGAUUUUGUGGU